CCUACGGGUGGCUGCAGUAGGGAAUAUUGCUCAAUGGGGGAAACCCUGAAGCAGCAACGCCGCGUGGAGGAUGAAGGUUUUCGGAUUGUAAACCCCUUUUGUUAGAGAAGAUAAUGACGGUAUGUAACGAAUAAGCACCGGCUAACUACGUGCCAGCAGCCGCGGUAAUACGGAGGGGGCAAACGUUACUCGGACUCACUGGGCGUAAAGAGGGCGUAGGCGGGAUAGCAAGUCAGAUGUGAAAUCGUAUGGCUUAACCAUAGAACUGCAUUUGAAACUGUUAUUCUAGAGUAUUGGAGAGGUAGGUGGAAUUCUUGGUGUAGGGGUGAAAUGCUUAGAGAUCAAGAGGAAUACUCAUUGCGAAGGCGACCUGCUAGAACAUAACUGACGCUGAUGCGCGAAAGCGUGGGGAGCAAACAGGAUUAGAUACCCCAGUAGUC
Molecule: ribosomal RNA, 440 nt
Filed under: uncultured bacterium
Lineage: Bacteria
Description: partial 16S ribosomal RNA
Rfam family: Bacterial small subunit ribosomal RNA
Source: RNAcentral